This 378-nucleotide unclassified non-coding RNA is filed under the name plant metagenome. Its description in RNAcentral is "partial contains 5.8S ribosomal RNA, internal transcribed spacer 2, and large subunit ribosomal RNA". The stretch from base 1 to 104 matches the Rfam family "5.8S ribosomal RNA", at positions 51 to 154 of the family's 154-position model. The record is from RNAcentral.
AAAUGCGAUAAGUAAUGUGAAUUGCAGAAUUCAGUGAAUCAUCGAAUCUUUGAACGCACCUUGCGCUCCUUGGUAUUCCUUGGAGCAUGUCUGUUUGAGUAUCAUGAAAUCUUCAAAGUAAAUCUUUUGUUAACUCAAUUGGUUUCUACUUUGGUAUUGGAGGUCUUUGCAGCUUCACACCUGCUCCUCUUUGUUCAUUAGCUGGAUCUCAGUGUUAUGCUUGGUUCCACUCGGCGUGAUAAGUUAUCUAUCGCUGAGGACACUGUAAAAGGUGGCCAAGGUAAAUGCAGAUGAACCGCUUCUAAUAGUCCAUUGACUUGGACAAUACUUUUAUGAUCUGAUCUCAAAUCAGGUAGGACUACCCGCUGAACUUAAGCA